AUUGCGCUUGAAAAGUGUAGAGAUUGGAGGUGGGGAGUUUAAUUUUUAGUAAGACACCCGGCUCUGUUGCCGUAUACUGAUGAAAUGUCUUUGUAACAGUUAAGUUAACCUAAAUUCCCUGUAAUUUUGGAGAGAAUGGUUGCGCAAAGUUUGUGAUGUUCAGUGAGAAGCUUAACUUGAUAUAAGGGUGCAAAAUAAGUCAAGUGGUUAUUUUAUUAAGUUUAUCUUCAGUUCCAGAGAUGUUAUAUUUGACAGCUGAAAGGAUGUGAAUAAAUUGUAUGACUGUACAUGAAGUGUUAACCUGUAUUAGUGGACAUUUUUGUGACACAUCAUGGAAACUACAAAAUCAACAUUUGGGCCAGUUGAUUAUGUUGUCUUUAGUCUCAUGUUGGCAUUUUCAGCGGCAAUAGGAAUUUAUUACAGAUUUUCUGGUGGCCGUCAAAGAACAACAAAAGAAUAUCUUCUUGCUAACCAAAGUAUGUCUGUUAUUCCUGUGGCAUUUUCACUAAUGGCCAGUUUCAUGUCAGCUAUAACACUCCUUGGAGUUGCUUCAGAAAAUUACAUCUAUGGCACUCAGUUUGUAGUCAUUAACAUUUCCUAUAUCAUUGGAACUCCAAUAUCAGCAUUUGUUUUUCUUCCAGUGUUUUUCCACAUGCAAGCAACAAGUGCUUAUGAGUACCUUGAACGGAGAUUUGGCAAAAUAACUAGAAAAGUAGCAUCUCUGACUUUUAUAGCUCAAAUGAUUAUGUACAUGUCCAUUGUGCUUUAUGCUCCAGCAUUAACCCUUAGUGCUGUGACAGGGCUGUCAAAAUGGGCUUCCAUUAUCUCCGUGGGACUUGUGUGUACUUUCUACUGUACUGUUGGUGGGAUUAAAGCUGUCUUAUGGACCGACUUAUACCAGUCACUUCUUAUGUUUCUGUCCAUGUUUGUUGUCCUUAUUAAAGGAACUUAUGAUGCAGGGGGUCUUCAGAAUGUAUGGCAUAUUGCUAAAACUGGGGGUAGAAUACAAUUUUUCAACUUUGAUCCAGACCCUACUGUUAGACAUACUGUUUGGACUCUUGCUAUUGGAGGAAUUUUUACAUAUACUUCUAUCUAUGGUGUGAACCAAGCCCAAGUUCAAAGACUACUUACAGUAAAAACGUUGAAGAAAGCCCAGCUGGCUUUAUUUUUGAAUUGGCCAAUCACCACUCUUCUUAGUAUAACAACAUCACUGACAGGGCUUGUUAUUUAUGCAAACUUUCACUUGUGUGAUCCAAUACUACGCCAAGAGGAAACAAAUGUAAAAUCUCCUGAUCAGUUGCUGCCAUAUUUUGUCAUGCUAUCCCUUGGACAUAUCCCAGGCCUGCCAGGGUUUUUUGUUUCAGGAAUUUUCAGUGGUGCUCUUAGUACUGUUUCAUCAGCUCUUAAUUCACUGGCAGCAGUAACUUUGGAAGACUUUCUAAAGCCUCUAUGGCCAAGGAAUGAACUCUCGGAUACAAAGGCAGCUUUAGUAUCAAAAUUUCUUGCUCUUGGUUAUGGCAUCCUUUGUAUAAUCCUAACGUAUGUUGCUGAGCAGCUUGGUGGAGUGCUUCAGGCAUCUUUAACAAUAUUUGGAGUCGUUGGAGGCCCUUUACUUGGUCUUUUUACCUUGGGCAUGCUUUUCAGAAAACCAAACCAAAUUGGUGCAUUAGUUGGUUUGUCAGUGGGUCUUGCAUUUUGUUUCUGGAUUGGAUUUGGAGCUGGUGCAGCAAAGAUUCCUGUUCCAAAACUUCCUCUAACAGAUGAAGGUUGUACAGUUUCAAAAAAUGAGACUUCUUUCACUGACUGGAUUACAAUUGACAAUAGUACUUCGCUGUUCAACAAUACUAUCUAUGUACAAGAUAUCAAAAACAUAACCAUUGAAGGCAAAGAACGUUAUGUGUUUCCAUUGUACAAAAUGUCUUACAUGUGGUAUGCUGGAACAGGAUGGCUAGUAACACUAGUUGUUGGACUACUUGUCAGUUAUAUCAUAGGAAAGAAUGAAGAAGUUGAUCCAACACUUUUAAGUCCUAUUGUCAAAUUUUGGACAAAGCCAGACACUAAACUUGAGAGUUCUCAGUUCUUCCACUUAAAUAGUGAAAAUGAUGAUUCAAGUGCUUGUAUUGCAAGAGAAGGAAUAGAUAAAACAGAAACUUGACCCCAUAUCAACAGUACUUAAGUUAAUUUUAUGCAUUUAAACAAGGAAGCUAUUGUAAACGGAUUGGUGUUAAAAGCAUAGGUAGAUAUUUUGGGUUGUGUUAGACUAAGGUAACUUUUUGGCUAUAUUUAAUUGGAUCACAUUUUUUAUUGUGCUUUAUUAGAUUAUAUCUUGGUUUGUAUUUGAUAACUUCUGUGUGUUGUUUGAAUGGUAAUCUCUGGAUGUAUUUUAAGUGAAUAAUUUUGUUGGUUUGAAUUUGAAUAGCCAGUUUAUCAGGAUAGACUGAGCAAGUUUCAAAGGAGAAAUAAUUUUGAUAAUCUACUGAGAUAUAACUUACCAGAAUAAUUAAUGAUGAAGUAAGGUGGUCAAACUAUAGUUAAGCUUUCAUAUCAUAUGGUUAGGUAAAGAACAAGAUUUCAUAGCAAAAAGGUUUUAACUUUGCUAACAGAAAUGCAAAACAGGUUGGAGAGAGAGAGAAACAAAUCACCCUCUUAAUUGUUAACUACAUGCUAGUUCCCUACUAUUUAAUAGGAGCCUCAGUCCUAGGUUUGUUUAUACCAUGUAAUCCCUCCGUUUGAAUUUUCUUCACAUGUAUCCUUGAUCACUGCCUACAGCUGAAACAAAUAGUGCAUUUGCUCUUCAAAUAUAUCUGUCACCCAUAUUCGAUUAUUUGACAAUAAAGACCAUGAAAAUAUUAUGUCUGUUUGCAUAUUUGUUGUACUUUGUUUAUCAUAAAUUGAAAGCAAUUCCUCACAAUAAUGGUAAUGAAAUUUACAGGUCAUGUACAGGCAUGUGUUCAAAAAUUCUAAAAAAUAUUUAGUAUUGGCUUCAUCAUCAAAAUUACCUGCAUUCAGAAUUAUACAGAUAUUACCAAAUAUGAUACCACCUUUUAUAAUAUAUACAUCAGAUCAUACUACACCCAAUUUGACUAUGUCACGCUCAGCCAUACCUAAUAAUUUCUUUUUAAAUAUCCAUUUUGGUUCAUUUUUAGUGAUUUAGUGAUCAUUCAGCCCACGUCUGAAUAUAUUUAUAUUGAACAUUGUUAGUUUCUUCAUUCAUAGAUUUGAGGUGCAGUGAAAAUUUGUAUGUUUAUUAUGUCACACAAACAGUUACAUCUGACAGGUAAUCCAAAUUGUUGAAUAGUAGUGAAUACUGAACCUGAGGUGGCUUUGUUGGUUAAAAUGCCAUUUAACAGUAUGUUUGCUUUUUUGAAUUUUACACAAAGCUACUCAAGAGCUAUCUGUACUAGCGGUCCCUAAUUUUGAAGUGAUAAACUAAAGACAAAGCAUCUACUCAACACCACUUAUCAUCAAAUCUCUGGCUACUCUUUAAGUGCAAAUAUUGGGAAUACCUGUGGUAUUAUAUCCCCCCCCUCCCAGCUGAAAGUGUGAGCAUGUUCAGUGCUGAAAUUCGAUCCUCCAACCUGCAAAUUGUGAGUUGAGUGCCCUAGCCAUCAUGCCAUGCUAGGCCAGUGAACAUUAUGAUGAGAGGUAGGGUAGAUAGACAUAAAGAUACAUAUAUUCAGCGGAUGUAGUUGAUGAAAUUUGCUUGUGCUUUGCAAUCGAGAAUCAUUCUCGAGGUGUCGUCCAUGUUUUUUACAGCAUGAAGAAAAUCAUUUAAAAUAUACUAAAAAACCUAAAUAUUCAAAUACCAAAAUUCAGUUUGAAUAUUCAUUUCAGCUCUACCAAAGUUUUCAUACUGAUGUUAUUUUGAUAGUCAUUUUUUAAUGAUUUGACAAAAUGAUUAUAUAGUGAAAGUUAACAGUAUUAAUAUUAAAGUUUUAUAUUUCUAUUUUAAAAUAUUGGACUCUUCUCUUGAACUGUAGAAACUUAAUCUCUUGCAUGACUUGUUUAGUGAGAUUCUUUAGAGGAGAAAGUUGUUUAAACAUUUUUGUAUUUGAGUCAUUUCCAUACAAAAGAACAAGGAUGUUUUUAUUAUUAUUCUAGCAUAAUUUUUUACUUGUAUCAGUUCUUUAGUUAAAAACUUAUGUUAUGUUGAAUAAUUUAUUUUUGUGCCCGUCACAACACUUUGUGUAUAAAAAAACAACCAAAGAAACUGGGUUUAAAUUGCUCAUUUCAUUGUAAAUUACAUAGGCAACCCCAGCAGUAAUUAGUGGGAUUAAUUGCAAUAUUCAUGGUAUACUUUAGAUUUUUUUGUGACUCAUGAGUUAUUAGGGAUUCUGUAACCAACAAAAUAAGUACUUCACGAUCAGGAUUCUUGUGAUAAGCCAAAGUACAUAACACAUUGUAUCUGUAGAAAUUUCCAACAAUUCAUGAAAUGUAACUGUUUUAAACACUGGUUUGUUUUAUAUCUAUUUCAAAAUAUAAAAUUCAAGUUUUACAUGGGAAUUUAUAAAACAUAUUUGACAUUAGCAAAUGAAAUGGAGGUGUUAAUUAUAGUUUGCAGAAAAAGAAAAAAAAAGUAUAUGGGAAUUUUUCAUGUGUUUUGACAUUAAGUGGUAGCUUAACUGAGCCAAACUGUUUAGAAUCCAUGAACUGAAGCUCCACCGAAUUAUCUGUUGUAAACAGUAAUAAUACAGCAAUGCAAGGAAACUAAUUUCUGAUAUUCUCAGAUAUUUAGUUACCAGAUCUGGAAUAUAUCAUAUUUUAAAUAAUAAAUUUAUUUUUCUGUAAUUAGGAUUUUAAUUUGUUUGUAAACUAAUUGUUCUUUUUACCACAACAAUGUAGUAAUAGUAGUGUAAGUAUCAAAAUAUACAAGGUAGUUUAGUAUUAUAUCAAACAAAAGUAUCAAUAUUUUAAAAAGAAAUAUUUUUUCAAAAUGAUUUUGGAGUAUUUGGUAAAUUGAAUUUCAAAGAAUAGUAGAAUCAACACACAACUGUAGCAAAUUUCACCAUUACAUUCAGUGUAGAAUCAACACAUGACUGUAGCAAAUUGUACCAUUACAUAGUGCUAAAAAUUUGGGUAAAAUUUGUCUUUAUAGGAAAUUUACCAUUAUGGAGCAUUUUUUAAUGUUUAGCUAUACGGUUUUUAAAGGAAUUCUUAAAAAGCAUGUAAUUUUGAAAAGAAAUUCACAAAAAAUAUAUAAUUAUUUUAAUGUAAAGUUAAUUAUUAUUAUUAAUUAUUACCCUUAUAUGUAUAUGUGAUACAUACUUCAAGAAUUUCAAAUCUUUGUUCUGGGUAAUUUGUUUGAAAUAGAAUCAUUAUAGUUGUGCAUUUAAUAUUUUCUCAAUACUGUUUGAUAUUGUGCAAUUAAUGGUGCAGUUAUAUGCUGUUUCCACCCAUUCUAUGCAAUAAGCUUGUGUUCUAGAUACCUUAAAACUGAAUUGGACUAUGACUAUGUAAUUUAAACAUUUUUUUUGUUUUAUACAAUAGUAUAUAUUACAAGUGAACUUUUAUAUAUGACUAUAGAAUUUAGUCUUCAGUGAAAUGUUCUUUACUUCUACUUCUUAACACCAUACAAAUAAGUUUGUAAAACUACAUAGAAAAGCUGAUAUUAAGUGGAUGUUCUUUAAACUUCAAAACCCAAUUAACAAGCAGUCUGAAACAAUAAAUUGAGUCUAUGUGCACUAACUGAAAUAAGAAUGGAACUGACUUUAAACAAACUUGCUAACAUUUUCAGUAUUGAGUGAAGUAGAAAAGGUUUGUAAAAGCAGUUGAAACAUUCCAUAACUUUUUUCUAGACCAGAAAUAAAACAAAAUGAAUGAUAUGUUUUUUCAAAGUUCAUAGUUCCUGUGUUUCACUGACAAUAAUUGGUAAUAUCUUAUUUCCAAAGAUAAAAUAUUUUCACUUUUUGGCAGUUAUAAAUAUAAAAAAUAUACCUUAAGUCACCUGAACAAA
RNAcentral lists this unclassified non-coding RNA (5953 nucleotides) under Limulus polyphemus (Atlantic horseshoe crab). RNAcentral describes it as "putative sodium-dependent multivitamin transporter, transcript variant X2". Lineage: Eukaryota; Metazoa; Arthropoda; Merostomata; Xiphosura; Limulidae. The record is from RNAcentral.